Molecule: ribosomal RNA, 485 nt
Filed under: uncultured bacterium
Lineage: Bacteria
Description: bacterial SSU rRNA
Rfam family: Bacterial small subunit ribosomal RNA
Source: RNAcentral
AACGAACGCUGGCGGCGCGCCUAACACAUGCAAGUCGAACGAGAAUCCGGGGCAACCCGGUAGUAAAGUGGCAAACGGGUGAGGAAUACAUGGGUAACCUACCCUUGAGAAGGGAAUAACCCGCCGAAAGGUGAGCUAAUACCCUAUACGCUAUCUUUUUUUCGAAAAGGAUAGGAAAGCCGGGUCGAGGACCUGGUACUCAAGGAGGGGCUCAUGUCCUAUCAGCUUGUUGGUGGGGUAACGGCCUACCAAGGCUACGACGGGUAGCUGGUCUGAGAGGAUGAUCAGCCACACUGGCACUGAGAUACGGGCCAGACUCCUACGGGAGGCAGCAGUGAGGAAUAUUGCGCAAUGGGCGAAAGCCUGACGCAGCGACGCCGCGUGGGGGAUGAAGGUUUUCGGAUUGUAAACCCCUUCCAUGAGGAAAGAUAAAGUGGGUAACCACUUAGACGGUACCUCAAGAAGAAGCCACGGCUAACUUCGUG